RNAcentral lists this ribosomal RNA (253 nucleotides) under uncultured bacterium. Its description in RNAcentral is "partial 16S ribosomal RNA". It matches the Rfam family "Bacterial small subunit ribosomal RNA", at positions 524 to 776 of the family's 1533-position model. The record is from RNAcentral.
UACGGGGGGUGCAAGCGUUACUCGGAAUCACUGGGCGUAAAGAGCAUGUAGGCUGUUAGAUAAGUUGGAAGUGAAAUCCUAUGGCUUAACCAUAGAACUGCUUCCAAAACUGUUUAACUAGAGUAUGGGAGAGGUAGAUGGAAUUUCUGGUGUAGGGGUAAAAUCCGUAGAGAUCAGAAGGAAUACCGAUUGCGAAGGCGAUUUACUGGAACAUAACUGACGCUGAGAUGCGAAAGCGUGGGGAGCAAACAGG